RNAcentral lists this ribosomal RNA (433 nucleotides) under uncultured bacterium. RNAcentral describes it as "partial 16S ribosomal RNA". It matches the Rfam family "Bacterial small subunit ribosomal RNA", at positions 29 to 507 of the family's 1533-position model. The record is from RNAcentral.
AACGAACGCUGGCGGCAUGCCUAACACAUGCAAGUCGAACGAGACCUGCGGGACUAGUGGCGCACGGGUGCGUAAGGCGUGGGAACCUGACCUUAGGUUCGGCAUAACUCCCCGAAAGGGGUGCUAAUACCGGCUAAUGUCUUAGGACCAAAGAGUUAUCGCCUUUGGGUGGGCCCGCGUUGGAUUAGCUAGUUGGUAGGGUAAAAGCCUACCAAGGCGACGUUCCAUAGCUGGUCUGAGAGGAUGAUCAGCCACACUGGGACUGAGACACGGCCCAGACUCCUACGGGAGGCAGCAGUGGGGAAUAUUGGACAAUGGGCGAAAGCCUGAUCCAGCAAUGCCGCGUGAGUGAUGAAGGCCUUAGGGUUGUAAAGCUCUUUUACCCGGGAUGAUAAUGACAGUACCGGGAGAAUAAGCUCCGGCUAACUCCGUG